CGUGACAUCAAUUGGUGUUCGAGCCUGUUUGCGUGGGGGUGCACAGCAAGGCAGGGCGCUGGCAGUGGAAACAAGCCGAGCUGUGGAGAGCUCAUUUGGAGAGCACUGCGAAGAUUAGAGUCUGACAACUACGAGCAAAUUGAAUUUCUUUCGAGUUCUCAACACGAAUCAGAUUAUACGUUACCCGGUACAUGUGCUGAUUACGCUGUUGUUCAAAGAAACAAACAACUCUCUGCAAAAGAUGAUGAAAAAUCUCCAGAUUCAGAUUAUACAUUUGCUGGACCGACAGCUGAGUAUGCCCAGAUUUGCAUGUCAAUCACAAAGGAUGGGAAGGAUGAUGAUUUAUGUAUUUUCGAUAACUCCAACGAUGAUACUUUGAAUUAUUGCUCUUUAGAAAAACCAGACAUUAAUGAUGGAAACGAAAGUGUUCCGCAUGGAGAGACAAGAAUUGAAUAUGCCCAAAUAAGUCACUUUGCUAAUCCUUGAGGAACCGAUGACUUGUGCUUCGAAGACGAUGGGACGAUGGAGUCAUCGUGUGGACUAUGAAUUUGAUGAGCGUCUUGAAGCCCACACAAACUUUAAGUUAUCCUAACAUCACAGGUAGAGAAAGUGUGCAGGCAUCGGUUGAUGAAAUUAACAUUGGCAUGGCUGAUGAGGACAUGUGUGCGAAAUCCCAGUUCCAACUGUUAACGUGCUAUGCUGUGCUGAAGACUGAGCGAGGUCAUGUUGGAGGACAUUAAUGCACACAUGGUCAUAUACAUCUGUCAUGGUUCUGUUUCUGAUAACUUAAAUCACAUCUGUGUACUCAUAAUAUGAUCCAGCUGGAUCUUCAGUAGAAUUCCAUAAUGUGGACCCCAUUUACCUCCUGCCUCUCCAAUACAUCGACGUUGACACAGGAUGGAGACUUUAAGCACCACUUGCAACUGAUGAACAACAGCAAACUUCCAUUCAAUUCUGUAUCUGAUGCAACUUAAACUUAUUAUUUUGCUUCUUUACCCUUGAUGCCACAACAUUCUUUCAUACUCCCAACAUUUAAUUAACCCAUCCUUUAACUCUUAAUAAAGACACUCCAGCUUAUAAUUUGGAUUACCACUAAAUGUUUCUGUCUUUGAUUCAAUCAUUGUCUGACAUGGUAAGAAUGAAACGAUGGUUAAAAGAUAACUUAAACAGAUCUUCCUCCACCCGUUAUUCCACCCAUGCUGCAGGACCAGUCACAUCAAUGAAGAAGUUAAGGUUCUUUUCCUUCACUCGAACAAAAACAAAAAAAAUUAUGAAAAAUAUUGUGGUGCCUUAUGCAAUUUGCAAACACACAAAGAGAGAAAGCAGGUAAAUGGAUCAUCCAUCACCCAGAAAUCUGCACCGUUCAGCCUCCUACAUUUGUAUGGGCUUGUAAAAUGGCAGAUCCAUAACGCUGGAGGUCAAUGAUAUCAUGGGCUUUGUUUCCAUCAAUAUAAAUGACAAACAUACAAGUACAAAUGAAUGAAAUUUUUGUCUGUUUACAUGGGUAACAUGACGUGAGUAAGUAUACUUCAGGUUAUAUUUGUCAACUCCAGCUCAGACUAUUUCUUUCAAGUCUACCGAAAGCUGACUCUCUAAUAUUAGUCAAGUGUGGAUGUUGAUUGGUCCAGGGGAUGCUGACUCCAAAGACAAGUCCGACAGACUAUUUUGUUUACAAAUUCCAGGAAGUGUCAACGAACCUGCUCUGGCUAGCAGAAUGAAAGGAAAAGUGAUCAUGGCCAGAACAGGGGCUGAAGGGUGUCGGGGUUAACUACCGAUGUUCUGCUUCGAGGAUGCAGCAGCCCACUCAUUAUGCACCUGUCGUGUCAUAAUGAAACACGCCUCAAUGUAGCACAGAUGGUAUUAAGAAAAUUUACACAAACAAACUACCAGUGACAUAUAAUGGCAUACCAUAGUGCCUAGCCUAAGCCAACACCCCAUACUCACUCUGGAGCACAACAUUUUCCCCGACUUUCUUGCACAAGGGUAAUAUUGUCACUCUCCUAGUUCUCACCUCUUACACACUUCAGUGUCUCUUUUGCUUUGUUCUGAUGCACAUUCCACCACUUCUCAUUAUUCUUCGUCAUAUUUUCACAACUUGCAUACCUCCUUUCGCAAUCUCCUUUAUUUCUCUUUAAACUUUUUUUUUUUUACCUCACCACUUCCUACAUUUCUCUUUCUGAUAAUCUGUGCUCACACCAAAUGUUCCAUGCCUUUUCACCCAAUUGUACCUUGCCAGUUCCUCACCUCCCAUCAGAGUUUUUUUAUUUGUCAAUUUUUGUAGUUCUGGUUGUCCACUUUUUUUCCGUUGUUGUUGAUCCGUUGAUCAGUGUGAAAUGGACAAGUUAACAAUUGUUGAGUCGUAUUGUCAUACGUCUGAUUAAACCUUCCAUCUUGUACUUAGUACCUUAUGUGUACCUUACCAUGGUAGCAUUAUUGUAAGAUGUUUGCUGAAGUUUAUAACAAUUUUUUUCUAUUCAUGGAUGGAUAUUUUAUGCUUUGGAGUCUGGGUCUUAUCAUAUUAUUUUGCCACGUGUUUUGUUUUUGACUACCUUUGACUUGCUGAUGUUCAUAUGUUAUGACUAAUGCUUCAACAUUCCACCCGAGUUUUGUAGCCAAGCUGUUAAUCUUGUGACCAUCUAUCUGACGUGAUUAAUGGACGUGCCACUAUAUGUUUGUGGAAAUCUUGGAGACAAUCAUUCACAGUGGUCAUACAUAUCAUUGCUUUUAACAGACAAGUUAUUUUUGGUUUGAGGUUUCCAUUUGUUAAUAUUUUGAUACCUUGUUAUAUACGAAGUGACUUAAUAAAGUUACUUCUGCAUCAUUUCUCGAAAUGUCGAGGUUCAACUGCAUACCCAAGUACAAAAAAUUAGAACAAUGCUGAAAGUAAAAUUCAAUUUUCAAUGAUAAUAAGAGGGC
Eptatretus burgeri (inshore hagfish) is the source of this 2916-nucleotide long non-coding RNA. Lineage: Eukaryota; Metazoa; Chordata; Myxini; Myxiniformes; Myxinidae. The record is from Ensembl.